RNAcentral lists this ribosomal RNA (398 nucleotides) under uncultured bacterium. RNAcentral's name for it is "bacterial SSU rRNA". It matches the Rfam family "Bacterial small subunit ribosomal RNA", at positions 362 to 775 of the family's 1533-position model. The record is from RNAcentral.
UAUUGGACAAUGGGGGGAACCCUGAUCCAGCGACGCCGCGUGAGUGAAGAAGUAUCUCGGUAUGUAAAGCGCUAACAGCAGGGAAGGAGAAAUGACGGUACCUGAGUCAGAAGCACCGGCUAACUACGUGCCAGCAGCCGCGGUAAUACGUAGGGGGCAAGCGUUAUCCGGAAUUACUGGGUGUAAAGGGAGCGUAGACGGUGGGGUAAGUCUGGAGUGAAAGGCGGGGGCGCAACCCCCGGACUGCUCUGGAAACUAUGUGACUGGAGUGCAGGAGAGGUGAGCGGAAUUCCUAGUGUAGCGGUGAAAUGCGUAGAUAUUAGGAGGAACACCAGUGGCGAAGGCGGCUCACUGGACUGUAACUGACGUUGAGGCUCGAAAGCGUGGGGAGCAAACAG